Molecule: ribosomal RNA, 405 nt
Filed under: uncultured bacterium
Lineage: Bacteria
Description: bacterial SSU rRNA
Rfam family: Bacterial small subunit ribosomal RNA
Source: RNAcentral
UGGGGAAUAUUGCACAAUGGGCGAAAGCCUGAUGCAGCGACGCCGCGUGAGGGAUGACGGCCUUCGGGUUGUAAACCUCUUUCAGCAGGGAAGAAGCGAAAAUGACGGUACCUACAGAAGAAGCCCCGGCCAACUACGUGCCAGCAGCCGCGGUAACACGUAGGGGGCAAGCGUUGUCCGGAUUUAUUGGGCGUAAAGAGCUCGUAGGCGGUUUCGUAAGUCGGAUGUGAAAACUCCAGGCUCAACUUGGAGACGCCAUUCGAUACUGCGAUGACUUGAGUCCGGUAGGGGGUGUGGAAUUCCUGGUGUAGCGGUGAAAUGCGCAGAUAUCAGGAGGAACACCGGCGGCGAAGGCGGCACUCUGGGCCAGUACUGACGCUGAGGAGCGAAAGCGUGGGUAGCAAA